RNAcentral lists this ribosomal RNA (253 nucleotides) under uncultured bacterium. RNAcentral describes it as "partial 16S ribosomal RNA". It matches the Rfam family "Bacterial small subunit ribosomal RNA", at positions 524 to 776 of the family's 1533-position model. The record is from RNAcentral.
UACGUAGGGGGCAAGCGUUACUCGGAAUUACUGGGCGUAAAGGGUGAUUAGGCGGCUGAGCAAGUCAAGGAUGAAAGCCCGAGGCUCAACUUCGGAAUUGUCCUUGAAACUGCUCAGCUUGAGGGUAGUUGAGGAGAGUGGAAUUCCCGGUGGAGCGGUGAAAUGCGUAGAUAUCGGGAGGAACACCUGAGGCGAAGGAGGCUCUCGAAGCUAUUCCUGACGCUGAAUCACGAAAGCUAGGGGAUCAAACGGG